CCCUUAGAUGUCCGGGGCUGCACGCGCGCUACACUGACUGGCUCAGCGUGUGCCUACCCUACGCCGGCAGGCGCGGGUAACCCGUUGAACCCCAUUCGUGAUGGGGAUCGGGGAUUGCAAUUAUUCCCCAUGAACGAGGAAUUCCCAGUAAGUGCGGGUCAUAAGCUUGCGUUGAUUAAGUCCCUGCCCUUUGUACACACCGCCCGUCGCACCUACCGAUUGAAUGGUUCGGUGAAGAUCUCGGACUUCGAUAUUUAUUCUUUAUUGAGUUUAUAUUGUGGGAAGUUAUCUAAACCUCAUCAUUUAGAGGAAGGUGAAGUCGUAACA
Molecule: ribosomal RNA, 327 nt
Filed under: uncultured eukaryote
Lineage: Eukaryota
Description: partial 18S ribosomal RNA
Rfam family: Eukaryotic small subunit ribosomal RNA
Source: RNAcentral